GAUGAAGAACGCAGCGAAAUGCGAUACGUAAUGUGAAUUGCAGAAUUCAGUGAAUCAUCGAAUCUUUGAACGCACAUUGCGCUCUCUGGUAUUCCGGAGAACAUGCUUGUUUGAGUAUCAGUAAACACCUCAACUCCUUUAUUGUAGUUGGACUUGAGCUAUCCCAACAGGACUUUUUGUUCCUGGCGGGAGGCUUGAAAUGCAGGUGCAGCUGGACUUUCUUCUGAGCUAUAAGCAUAUUUAUUUAAUCCCUUAACACGGAUUAUUACUUUUUUGCUGCAGCUAACAUAAAGGUUGAAUUUCCAUUGAGCUGACUGAUGCAGGAAUUUGGCAAGGAAUUUUUUUAAUGACUUGUUAAACUCGAUCUCAAAUCAAGUAAGACUACCCGCUGAACUUAAGCAUAUCAAUAAGCGGAGGA
This 418-nucleotide unclassified non-coding RNA is filed under the name soil metagenome. RNAcentral's name for it is "partial contains 5.8S ribosomal RNA, internal transcribed spacer 2, and large subunit ribosomal RNA". The stretch from base 1 to 120 matches the Rfam family "5.8S ribosomal RNA", at positions 35 to 154 of the family's 154-position model. The record is from RNAcentral.